RNAcentral lists this long non-coding RNA (587 nucleotides) under Homo sapiens (human). RNAcentral describes it as "HSALNT0086377". Lineage: Eukaryota; Metazoa; Chordata; Mammalia; Primates; Hominidae. The record is from RNAcentral.
ACUUAAAUAAAAUGUUAACAUAUUAGAGGGAAAAUUAAGUAAAAUAUAAUCUCAUCGAAAAUUUAUGAAAGUGCAAUUUCUCUCAAGUUUUUUUUUUAAAUGUCACUCUAUUUUAAUUACUAUUUUUGGCUAGCAAAUAUUUGCUAAAAUUUAUUUGUAUCACAAUUCCAUUUGAGUUUUAAAAAUAUGAUAUACUAUAAACUAUUUGUAUUGCAUUAUAAAUAAAAAUAGCUAAUAUCAUCUAUUAAAAUGAGCAAAUAAACUAUGAAAGCAAAUUCUACCAAAAUAAGAAAAGUAAUUUGUAACUUUGGAUAUCCAACUAUCAGUGCCUAAAAAAUCUGCUAAUUUUUUAAAAGGUUGUAAAGAUAACAACAAAAGUUAGAUGUGGCCUAUGUCUUUAAAUUAUGCAUGAGAGAGGACACAAUGCCAAGAUCUAGCAACUGAGUAUUGAAAAAAGUAAGGGAUUUAAUGUAAUCCAAUAUUAGCUGAAAAGACUAGAAAGUACAUUCUUGUAUUACAUUUCAUUUGUUAUGUACUCUGCACUAAAGCAACUUCAAUGGAACUUAAUAAAAUACACAUUUUUUAAA